Molecule: small nuclear RNA, 191 nt
Filed under: Tursiops truncatus (common bottlenose dolphin)
Lineage: Eukaryota; Metazoa; Chordata; Mammalia; Artiodactyla; Delphinidae
Also listed under: 1 other name
Description: U2 spliceosomal RNA (ENSTTRG00000023266.1)
Rfam family: U2 spliceosomal RNA
About the family: U2 is a small nuclear RNA (snRNA) component of the spliceosome (involved in pre-mRNA splicing). Complementary binding between U2 snRNA (in an area lying towards the 5' end but 3' to hairpin I) and the branchpoint sequence (BPS) of the intron results the bulging out of an unpaired adenosine, on the BPS, which initiates a nucleophilic attack at the intronic 5' splice site, thus starting the first of two transesterification reactions that mediate splicing.
Source: Rfam by way of RNAcentral
AUUGAUCUUAGCCAAAAGGCCAAGAAGCAAGAAUAGUAGCUAUUCCUAUCAGUUUAAUUUCUGACACACCCUCUAUCCAAGGACAAUAUAUUAAAUGGAUUUUGGAACUAGGAGAUGGAAUAGAACUUUGCUCCAUCCACUCCAUGCAUUGACCCAGGUAUUACUGUACUUCCAGGAAUAGUGCACCCCCU